RNAcentral lists this long non-coding RNA (730 nucleotides) under Lathyrus oleraceus (garden pea). RNAcentral's name for it is "Pisum sativum (pea) long non-coding RNA (PSAT_LNC040702)". Lineage: Eukaryota; Viridiplantae; Streptophyta; Magnoliopsida; Fabales; Fabaceae. The record is from RNAcentral.
AGACUACUAUGUUAAACAAAUACAUUAAGCGGCUAAGUAACAUGCAUAUGUAUAUGCCAUUUUAAUUCAAAGUCAUGCAUUUGGAGUUUUUCAACAAAUCCUAUAAUGUUCAAAGCAAACUUAGCUCUUUACCCAUGUGUCCAUCUAAUAGGUUUCACGUUUCAAAUAAAACUAGUUCUACAUUAUUUUCACAUUUUGUUUUUAUAAAUUUAACCCAUCUUUGUCUAUAUAAACUGUCAUUUUCUUUAUUUCUUUUUUUCAUGUUCAUGUUUUACAACAACAUAUUAUGAUAUCAAUACAUUAUAUUUUUAAUAAUAUUAGAUUUAAAAAACUGAAAUAUCAAUACAUUACAAUUUAAGUCAAUAAAAUUAAUUACAAAAAAUAUGCAUAUUCUCUUAUUUUAGUGUUUAAAACAUAAUUUUUAAAAAUUGUAUAAAAUAAGUAAUUCACUCUACCAAUGUUGGUUUGGUGUAAUAAACCUAGUCGUCUUGAGAAGACUACUAUGUUAAACAAAUACAUUAAGCGACUAAGUAAUAUGUAUAUGUAUAUGCCAUUUUAAUUCAAAGACAUGCAUUUGGAGUAUUUCAACCCAUCCUAUAAUGUUCAAACCAAACUUAUCUCUUUACCCAUGUAUCCAUAUAACAGGUUUCACGUUUCUAAUAAAAUUGGUUUUAUGUUAUUUUCAAGUCUUGUUUUGUUUUCAUAACUUUAACCCAUCUUUGUCUAUAUA